This 255-nucleotide ribosomal RNA is filed under the name uncultured bacterium. Its description in RNAcentral is "partial 16S ribosomal RNA". It matches the Rfam family "Bacterial small subunit ribosomal RNA", at positions 524 to 776 of the family's 1533-position model. The record is from RNAcentral.
UACAGAGGGUGCGAGCGUUGUUCGGAAUUACUGGGCGUAAAGCGCGCGCAGGCGGCCCUUUAAGUCUACCCGUGAAAUGCCGGAGCUCAACUCCGCGCACGCCGGGGGAUACUGGGGGGCUGGAGACAUGUAGAGGCAAGCGGAAUUCCGGGUGUAGCGGUGGAAUGCGUAGAUAUCGGGAGGAACACCUGUGGCGAAAGCGGCGCACUGGACCACAACUGACGCUGAGGCGCGAAAGCUAGGGGAGCAAACAGG